UCAAACCAUGUGCGGCGAUAUUCAGCCAAC
This 30-nucleotide small RNA is filed under the name Bombyx mori (domestic silkworm). RNAcentral's name for it is "ovarian small RNA-24404". The record is from RNAcentral. Lineage: Eukaryota; Metazoa; Arthropoda; Insecta; Lepidoptera; Bombycidae.